Molecule: ribosomal RNA, 374 nt
Filed under: uncultured organism
Description: partial 16S ribosomal RNA
Rfam family: Bacterial small subunit ribosomal RNA
Source: RNAcentral
GUAGGUGGCAAGCGUUGUCCGGAAUUAUUGGGCGUAAAGCGCGCGCAGGCGGUCCUUUAAGUCUGAUGUGAAAGCCCACGGCUCAACCGUGGAGGGUCAUUGGAAACUGGGGGACUUGAGUACAGAAGAGGAAAGCGGAAUUCCAAGUGUAGCGGUGAAAUGCGUGGAGAUUUGGAGGAACACCAGUGGCGAAGGCGGCUUUCUGGUCUGUAACUGACGCUGAGGCGCGAAAGCGUGGGGAGCAAACAGGAUUAGAUACCCUGGUAGUCCACGCCGUAAACGAUGAGUGCUAAGUGUUAGGGGGUUUCCCGCCCCCCUUAGUGCUGCAGCUAACGCAUUAAGCACUCCGCCUGGGGAGUACGGCCGCAAGGCUG